UCUCUCCAAUCAAGAUUCACAUUUACCAUAUCUCCAUUGCUUAUUGCUUUCUUUAAUGUCUCACCAAAGCUUUUCUCGAUAAGUGCAGAUGGUAUGGUUAUGUUCUCGAUAUAUUGUGCAGAAGAACCAUCCUCUUGAGGUGAAUCCAUCGUUAUUAACGGUUCCUCAAUGUCAUCUGCAACAAGUACUGCAGAAGCCCCUGCCUUCUGGGCAUUCCAAACUUUCAAAGCAAAGAAGCAGUCUCCACGAUCGA
This 253-nucleotide unclassified non-coding RNA is filed under the name Hevea brasiliensis (rubber tree). Lineage: Eukaryota; Viridiplantae; Streptophyta; Magnoliopsida; Malpighiales; Euphorbiaceae. The record is from RNAcentral.